UUGUGCUCUCACAAAUAAAUUUUCCUUUGAAAUGGAGGAGUUGGGUCAUGACUAUCUUGUCUACCGCAUAAUAGGUCACACGCAUAAUAACCGUAACAAGUAAAUGUAGUCUUUCAUAUUUUCUUCUAUUUUCCUGUUCGAAUAAAGCUUCUUUUUUUAUUUAAGAUUCCCGUCAUUGCUCACAAUGAAAUCCUUUUACAAGAACUUAUGUCUCAGCAUCGCUGCCAUAGCAACCCCAUCCCUUUGAUUAACUGACCACCAAAAGCUGCUAUAGAACCGACGACUCACACACUCCUUCACCAACCCUCCAUUUCUUUGAUUUUUCAAACAUAUCUAUAACAGACCUCUCUAUCCAAUCGGCUCACCAACCCUCCAUUUCUUUGGUUCGAUGAUUUUUUUUUAAUUAAAACUGAAUAAAAAAAGUUUUAAAACACCUGACACAGGUAAAGGAUAUUGACGAACAAGAAAUUGGAGAAUGAUGAAAUUUCCAAAGCCAUUUCUUGGUUCAUCUAAUCCAUGGGUGAAGAGGUAGAUUAUAGAUGUGUACUCCACCGUGAUGGUUCUGUUCUCAUGUCUGUUUCCCUCGAUCAACUCAAGGUUUAUAAAUUUUAAACUCUCAGUUCUGUAAUGGAUGUUAUAACCAGCAAACUCCUGGUUAAACUUUAAUGAUGUUAUUGUUUACUAAGGUACACUUCAUCUGUGUGA
Molecule: long non-coding RNA, 705 nt
Organism: Helianthus annuus (common sunflower)
Lineage: Eukaryota; Viridiplantae; Streptophyta; Magnoliopsida; Asterales; Asteraceae
Exons: 2
Source: RefSeq, a predicted model, not a curated record